RNAcentral lists this transfer RNA (72 nucleotides) under Parcubacteria group bacterium RIFCSPHIGHO2_01_FULL_40_30. RNAcentral describes it as "tRNA-Gly". It matches the Rfam family "tRNA". Rfam says of the family: Transfer RNA (tRNA) molecules are approximately 80 nucleotides in length. Their secondary structure includes four short double-helical elements and three loops (D, anti-codon, and T loops). The record is from RNAcentral. RNAcentral also lists the same sequence under 4 other names.
GCGGGAGUAGUUCAACGGCAGAACGUCACACUUCCAAUGUGAAGGUUGCGGGUUCGAUUCCCGUCUCCCGCU